Molecule: ribosomal RNA, 254 nt
Filed under: uncultured bacterium
Lineage: Bacteria
Description: partial 16S ribosomal RNA
Rfam family: Bacterial small subunit ribosomal RNA
Source: RNAcentral
UACGAAGGGGGCUAGCGUUAUUCGGAAUCACUGGGCUUAAAGCGCGUGUAGGCGGGUCGCUGCGUCGGCUGCUGAAAUCCCCCGGCUCAACCGGGGAACGGGCACCGAUACGAGCGGCCUGGAGGGGGGUAGGGGGGUCUGGAACUUCCGGUGGAGCGGUGAAAUGCGUUGAGAUCGGAAGGAACGCCCGUGGCGAAAGCGAGGCCCUGGACCCUUUCUGACGCUGAGACGCGAAAGCCAGGGGAGCGAACGGG